Ursus americanus (American black bear) is the source of this 121-nucleotide ribosomal RNA. NCBI's taxonomy places the organism in Eukaryota, Metazoa, Chordata, Mammalia, Carnivora, Ursidae. The record is from Ensembl.
GUCUAUGGCCAUACCACCCUGAAUGCACCCGAUCUCCUCCAAUCUUAGAAGCUAAGCAGGAUCGGGCCUGGUUAGUACUUGGAUGGGAGACCUAUAUGCCAAACCACAGUUUGGAAAGAGU